RNAcentral lists this ribosomal RNA (468 nucleotides) under uncultured bacterium. RNAcentral describes it as "partial 16S ribosomal RNA". It matches the Rfam family "Bacterial small subunit ribosomal RNA", at positions 28 to 507 of the family's 1533-position model. The record is from RNAcentral.
GACGAACGCUGGCGGCGUGCUUAACGCAUGCAAGUCGAACGGAAAGGCCCUGCUUUUGUGGGGUGCUCGAGUGGCGAAAGGGUGAGUAACACGUGAGUAACCUGCCCUUGACUUUGGGAUAACUUCAGGAAACUGGGGCUAAUACCGGAUAGGAGCUCCUGCUGCAUGGUGGGGGUUGGAAAGUUUCGGCGGUUGGGGAUGGACUCGCGGCUUAUCAGCUUGUUGGUGGGGUAGUGGCUUACCAAGGCUUUGACGGGUAGCCGGCCUGAGAGGGUGACCGGCCACAUAGGGACUAGGUAACGGCCCAGACUCCUACGGGAGGCAGCAGUGGGGAAUAUUGCACAAUGGGCGGAAGCCUGAUGCAGCAACGCCGCGUGCGGGAUGACGGCCUUCGAGUUGUAAACCGCUUUCGCCUGUGACGAUGCGUGAGUGACGGUAAUGGGUAAAGAAGCACCGGCUAACUACGUG